This is a long non-coding RNA of Marmota flaviventris (yellow-bellied marmot), 428 nucleotides long. RefSeq lists it as uncharacterized. Lineage: Eukaryota; Metazoa; Chordata; Mammalia; Rodentia; Sciuridae. The record is from RefSeq and is a predicted model, not a curated record.
GUCCUGAGCUAUUCAUCAUAGAGGACUUCUCUCUGAUUCAGCUGUUCUGAACCCUUUCUCUACUUCUGUCCCCACAUGCACAGAAACUUUGUCUUUACAUGUGAUCUAAGAUAAACCUAGAAUCCUAGGCCCUGUGAAGAUUUAUGGAUACAACCAAAUCCUCAGGCUCCUGGCCACCUCACUACAUCCAUUGUUGAUUUGGUCAAAGUUCUCCCAGAGGAACUUUUUGCAAAUAGGUACAUACAUGUGCCUGUGGUACAUGAACAUCCCUGUGCAUGGAAAAAUGGUGUGGAUAGACCAUUGUGUGAGCCUGUGUGUAUGGUCUGGAAACUACCGAGAUACAGCUUUGGGGACUGUUUUAGAGGCUGAACCAGAGCAUAGACUGGUACCAGGGAUUGAACUCAGAGGCACUAGACCACAGAACCACA